Molecule: non-coding RNA, 216 nt
Organism: Ceratotherium simum simum (southern white rhinoceros)
Lineage: Eukaryota; Metazoa; Chordata; Mammalia; Perissodactyla; Rhinocerotidae
Source: RefSeq, a predicted model, not a curated record
CACUUCACAGUUGGCCAGGAGCAACCUUAAGGUACAAAGCCUUCCCUGGAGGAGUGGGGGAUCUGAGCAAGAGAGCAUUACCACAAUAAGCAGCUUUUGGACUCAGCACAACCAAGACAAGUGUCAUAAUACCUGGCUUUGCUGGAUAUUAACUACAACAGGGAAUAUCCAUAGAAAAACCAUUGGACAUAAGGGGGAAAAAAGCCUGCUGUUAAA